Molecule: ribosomal RNA, 484 nt
Filed under: uncultured bacterium
Lineage: Bacteria
Description: partial 16S ribosomal RNA
Rfam family: Bacterial small subunit ribosomal RNA
Source: RNAcentral
AUUGAACGCUGGCGGCAGGCCUAACACAUGCAAGUCGAGCGGAUGAAGGGAGCUUGCUCCUGGAUUCAGCGGCGGACGGGUGAGUAAUGCCUAGGAAUCUGCCUGGUAGUGGGGGAUAACGUCCGGAAACGGGCGCUAAUACCGCAUCCGUCCUGAGGGAGAAAGUGGGGGAUCUUCGGACCUCACGCUAUCAGAUGAGCCUAGGUCGGAUUAGCUAGUUGGUGGGGUAAAGGCCUACCAAGGCGACGAUCCGUAACUGGUCUGAGAGGAUGAUCAGUCACACUGGAACUUGGACACGGUCCAGACUCCUACGGGAGGCAGCAGUGGGGAAUAUUGGACAAUGGGCGAAAGCCUGAUCCAGCCAUGCCGCGUGUGUGAAGAAGGUCUUCGGAUUGUAAAGCACUUUAAGUUGGGAGGAAGGGCAGUAAGUUAAUACCUUGCUGUUUUGACGUUACCAACAGAAUAAGCACCGGCUAACUUCGUG